RNAcentral lists this unclassified non-coding RNA (253 nucleotides) under Hevea brasiliensis (rubber tree). Lineage: Eukaryota; Viridiplantae; Streptophyta; Magnoliopsida; Malpighiales; Euphorbiaceae. The record is from RNAcentral.
AGAAAUCAAAUCCUUCAAGCAAAAAAUAUACUCUUGAAUCAAAAAUAACUGACACCAAAAACAAAUAUUAGAAACAUCAUUUGCCUCCUUAGCAAGAAAGGUAACUAAUAUUGCAAGCAAAUGUUGUUCCGGUGUUAAGUUUCUGAUAAAACAGCAAUUUCACCAAAAAUUACAAAUGGAAGCGUGAACAGCAAACAUAAGACAAACAGUACACUGACACUUUUACAUACACAAGCAUUAAAAUAGGUGAAAA